GAUGAACGCUGGCGGCGUGCCUAAUACAUGCAAGUCGAGCGAACGGACGAGAAGCUUGCUUCUCUGAUGUUAGCGGCGGACGGGUGAGUAACACGUGGAUAACCUACCUAUAAGACUGGGAUAACUUCGGGAAACCGGAGCUAAUACCGGAUAAUAUUUAGAACCGCAUGGUUCAAAAGUGAAAGACGGUCUUGCUGUCACUUAUAGAUGGAUCCGCGCUGCAUUAGCUAGUUGGUAAGGUAACGGCUUACCAAGGCAACGAUGCAUAGCCGACCUGAGAGGGUGAUCGGCCACACUGGAACUGAGACACGGUCCAGACUCCUACGGGAGGCAGCAGUAGGGAAUCUUCCGCAAAGGGCGAAAGCCUGACGGAGCAACGCCGCGUGAGUGAUGAAGGUCUUCGGAUCGUAAAACUCUGUUAUUAGGGAAGAACAUAUGUGUAAGUAACUGUGCACAUCUUGACGGUACCUAAUCAGAAAGCCACGGCUAACUACGUG
Molecule: ribosomal RNA, 497 nt
Filed under: uncultured bacterium
Lineage: Bacteria
Description: partial 16S ribosomal RNA
Rfam family: Bacterial small subunit ribosomal RNA
Source: RNAcentral